RNAcentral lists this ribosomal RNA (305 nucleotides) under uncultured bacterium. Its description in RNAcentral is "bacterial SSU rRNA". It matches the Rfam family "Bacterial small subunit ribosomal RNA", at positions 338 to 660 of the family's 1533-position model. The record is from RNAcentral.
CCUACGGGGGGCAGCAGUGGGGGAUAUUGCACAAUGGGGGCAACCCUGAUGCAGCGACGCCGCGUGAGCGAUGGAGUACUUCGGUAUGUAAAGCUCUGUCAGCAGGGAAGAGAAUGACGGUACCUGACCAAGAAGCCCCGGCUAAAUACGUGCCAGCAGCCGCGGUAAUACGUAUGGGGCAAGCGUUAUCCGGAUUUACUGGGUGUAAAGGGAGCGUAGACGGCAUUGCAAGUCUGAUGUGAAAGAUUGGGGCUCAACCCCAGGCCUGCAUUGGAAACUGUAAAGCUGGAGUACAGGAGAGGUAA